UCGCUCGCCUUUGAUAACACUGGUCUAGAUGAUAAAAAAAAAAAAAAAAAUUGAAAAGAAACUCAGCAGAGCUUGCAAUCUUUAGAACAAGAAGGAAUACAAUCCAAAUGAAUCUAACAACUCAAAUGGCCAUCCAGAGAAACUCCAGCCCAGCAAUUUAAAAAUGCCGUUACAAUGAAAAUACUUCUGCCUGCCUAUUCUCUAUAAAGCAACACUUAUUUAUAGAUUCUGCCUAUAAUUUGCUCGGCUGUGGUGUAAACAACUCCAGCUCAUUUCCUAUUUUUCCGCGCUCUUCUAUCUUCAUCUCGAAUCUUCCACGUUCUUCUAACUUAGCUACCACUCCUCUUUCAUCUUUUCUGAAUUUCUUCCUUGAGUAAACCCGUGAGGGCCCAGGCCUGCUAUAACCAGGCUCAUAUUAGGAUCCAUAACAUGCACAAUCUCAAAAUCAGGCUUAUACACAAUCUCAAAAUCAUAUCCAAAUUAUUUAGCAACCCAGUGUUGUUGAGCCAGCCAUCAGUAUUUUAGAUCGGCAGCAAACUCUUUUUGCCAUUGAAAUUGGGUAACUCAACUUUCUUUUCUACUAGUUGAAACUCAUCAGUAACUGAAGUUCUGGCUUGGGUGUGAUGUACUAAGGAUUCUCCUGGGAUAGUCUAACUAAGAUGAGAAGCAGACCCUCCAUUGCCUUCCUCUUCUGUGUUUUUGCCUUUCACUAGAAAGGUCAGUAAUCCCUCUAUUGAAUCUGGUUUCUCCAGUUGCUUUCAUGUUUGCAUCAUUUCAUCGCAUAGACCAUUAAGCUUAUGGCCUUGUUGCUCCGUCAUUGUGUGGUUUAAGCUUACAGUCCUAAUGUUCCUUUCUGUCAUCUCCAUACAAGACUCCAUUCUGGUGGUGGGCAUUCACUCUUAAGAGGAUCUGGCAGGUUGGACCAAAUUGAUAGAGUUAGGAACACGAGAAUAAUUCAGGAUAACAAUUUGAAGAGAAAUUGUAUUAAUUACCAAGAACAGCAAAUAAUACAAAACAAUCUUUCUCAGUUACCAAGCUUUCAAGGAAUAUCUUCUGACUACUUUCUGGAAUACAUAAAGCAAAUAAUAGAACUAAGAAACUUCAAUAUAGCCAGAGAAUCUGAUAAUGCCAAAAGCAAUAACAGAAUUCUUCACACUGUUUCUCUUCUUCCUGGCUCUAUUUAUAGAUUCUUUAACUUUUCAAUUCAUUAGAAGAAUCUCCAGGUGGUAUCUCCUCCGCAAUCCUCACCAACAGAUUUGGAUCCUCCAUCCUCAUUCCUUCCAGCUCAUCGAUUCCAGAACCUGCUGCUCCUAUCUUCUUUCUUUGAAAAUAAAUUAUGAGCCUUCCUGGGCUUGUAACCUCCCCUGCUGAGCCCACCUUCUUAUCUUGAUCGAUAACAAAUAAAUUUGUGUCUUCUUGUUUGUGCGAUAGCAAAAUUAACUAGUUCUUCUUUAUAAAAAUGAUGGGAACAUGACUAGUCCAUUGUUUGUUUUCUAAAGGGUAGAAUCCAGAAAGCCAGAAC
RNAcentral lists this unclassified non-coding RNA (1522 nucleotides) under Hevea brasiliensis (rubber tree). The record is from RNAcentral. Lineage: Eukaryota; Viridiplantae; Streptophyta; Magnoliopsida; Malpighiales; Euphorbiaceae.